GGAAGCAAAGGAUGUUGCGCGUGCGGAAGCCGGUGCUGUCGUCCACGCCACGGUAGAAAAGCGGAUGCGCGUACGCGUCCGGGAUGUUCAGGAUCUGGCCGGUGGUUGCCACGUGGCCCGCAAUGCCCUGGUCAGCCGGGAUGCGGAUCUCGUAGCUCUGCCAGGGCAGUGAUGGAGUAGAGAGGAAGUUAGCGGCCGGCCACAGAACGGACCAUGGACUGUCCCGCUUCCUCCUCCUUGGGCGCCUUGUGGACUCCCGGCCCCCAGGACUACGGCCACACACUCCCUCCGCGCGCCCGUGCCUCACCUCGUCAUCCACCACGCCCCCGUCGAACACCUUGGCCACCAGCUCAUUUUGAUCCAGCAGGAACACGGAGCAGCUGUGGGGAGACAGCCACGGUCCACAGGUCCCUGGCAGCCCUCUCCGACCACCCCCACUUCUCACGACUUUAGGCAAAGCCUAGAUUUCUGAAGCCUGAAAGGUGCUAUCCA
RNAcentral lists this long non-coding RNA (492 nucleotides) under Lynx pardinus (Iberian lynx). Lineage: Eukaryota; Metazoa; Chordata; Mammalia; Carnivora; Felidae. The record is from RNAcentral.